CCUACGGGAGGCAGCAGUGAGGAAUAUUGGUCAAUGGCCGGAAGGCUGAACCAGCCAUGCCGCGUGCAGGUCAGUGCCCUAUGGGCGUUAAACUUCUUUUGUGCGGGAGCAAUAAUGGUCACGUGUGGCCAGACGAGAGUACCGUACGAAUAAGCAUCCGCUAACUCCGUGCCAGCAGCCGCGGUAAUACGGGGGAUGCCAGCGUUAUCCGGAUUUAUUGGGUUUAAAGGGUGCGUAGGCUGUGAGGUAAGUCAGCGGUGAAAUGCCCCCGCUCAACGGGGUGAAGUGCCAUUGAUACUGCCUGGCUGGAAUGCGGAUGCCGUGGGAGGAAUGUGUGGUGUAGCGGUGAAAUGCAUAGAUAGCACACAGAACACCGAUUGCGAAGGCAUCUCACGAAUCCGCGAUUGACGCUGAUGCACGAAAGCGUGGGUAUCAAACAGGAUUAGAUACCCUUGUAGUC
RNAcentral lists this ribosomal RNA (460 nucleotides) under uncultured bacterium. RNAcentral's name for it is "partial 16S ribosomal RNA". It matches the Rfam family "Bacterial small subunit ribosomal RNA", at positions 338 to 795 of the family's 1533-position model. The record is from RNAcentral.